UACGUAGGGUGCGAGCGUUGUCCGGAAUUAUUGGGCGUAAAGAGCUUGUAGGCGGUUUGUCGCGUCUGCUGUGAAAGCCCGGGGCUUAACUCCGGGGCUGCAGUGGGUACGGGCAGGCUAGAGUGUGGUAGGGGAGACUGGAAUUCCUGGUGUAGCGGUGAAAUGCGCAGAUAUCAGGAGGAACACCGAUGGCGAAGGCAGGUCUCUGGGCCAUAACUGACGCUGAGAAGCGAAAGCAUGGGGAGCGAACAGG
RNAcentral lists this ribosomal RNA (253 nucleotides) under uncultured bacterium. RNAcentral's name for it is "partial 16S ribosomal RNA". It matches the Rfam family "Bacterial small subunit ribosomal RNA", at positions 524 to 776 of the family's 1533-position model. The record is from RNAcentral.